GGACUACCGGGGUAUCUAAUCCCGUUCGCUCCCCUAGCUUUCGCACCUGAGCGUCAGGUACCAGCCAGGACACUGCCUUCGCCUUUGGUGUUCUUCCGGAUAUCUACGCAUUUCACCACUCCACCCGGAGUUCCGUGUCCCUCUCUGGCCCUCAAGUGCUGCCGUCUUCGAGGCGCUCUCCCAGUUGAGCCGGGAGCUGUAACCCCAAACGUGCACCACCGCCUGCGUGCGCUUUACGCCCAGUAACUCCGGACAACGCUCGCCCCCUACGUAUUACCGCGGCGGCUGGCAC
RNAcentral lists this ribosomal RNA (292 nucleotides) under uncultured bacterium. Its description in RNAcentral is "partial 16S ribosomal RNA". The record is from RNAcentral.